RNAcentral lists this small RNA (27 nucleotides) under Bombyx mori (domestic silkworm). Its description in RNAcentral is "ovarian small RNA-33088". The record is from RNAcentral. Lineage: Eukaryota; Metazoa; Arthropoda; Insecta; Lepidoptera; Bombycidae.
UGAUUGAAUGGUGAAAUUCAGUGCGUG